AUCCUGUCUGAAUAUGGGGGGACCAUCCUCCAAGGCUAAAUACUCCUGACUGACCGAUAGUGAACCAGUACCGUGAGGGAAAGGCGAAAAGAACCCCUGUGAGGGGAGUGAAAUAGAACCUGAAACCGUGUACGUACAAGCAGUAGGAGCACCUUCGUGGUGUGACUGCGUACCUUUUGUAUAAUGGGUCAGCGACUUAUAUUCAGUGGCAAGGUUAACCAUCUAGGGGAGCCGUAGGGAAACCGAGUCUUAACUGGGCGCCAUAGUCUCUGGAUAUAGACCCGAAACCGAGUGAUCUAGCCAUGGGCAGGUUGAAGGUUGAGUAACAUCAACUGGAGGACCGAACCGACUAAUGUUGAAAAAUUAGCGGAUGACUUGUGGCUAGGGGUGAAAGGCCAAUCAAACUCGGAGAUAGCUGGUUCUCCCCGAAAGCUAUUUAGGUAGCGCCUCGGACGAAUACUACUGGGGGUAGAGCACUGUUAAGGCUAGGGGGUCAUCCCGACUUACCAACCCUUUGCAAACUCCGAAUACCAGUAAGUACUAUCCGGGAGACACACGGCGGGUGCUAACGUCCGUCGUGGAGAGGGAAACAACCCAGACCGCCAGCUAAGGUCCCAAAUUACAGCUAAGUGGGAAACGAUGUGGGAAGGCUUAGACAGCUAGGAUGUUGGCUUAGAAGCAGCCAUCAUUUAAAGAAAGCGUAAUAGCUCACUAGUCGAGUCGGCCUGCGCGGAAGAUGUAACGGGGCUAAGUUGUAAACCGAAGCUGCGGCAAUGUUCUUUGAACAUUGGGUAGGGGAGCGUUCUGUAAGCCGUUGAAGGUGUGUUGUAAAGCAUGCUGGAGGUAUCAGAAGUGCGAAUGCUGACAUGAGUAACGACAAGGGGGGUGAAAAACCUCCCCGCCGGAAGACCAAGGGUUCCUGUCCAACGUUAAUCGGGGCAGGGUAAGUCGACCCCUAAGGCGAGGCCGAAAGGCGUAGUCGAUGGGAAACGGGUUAAUAUUCCCGUACUUCUUACAAUUGCGAUGGGGGGACGGAGAAGGCUAGGUGGGCCUGGCGACGGUUGUCCAGGUUCAAGUGCGUAGGCU
Molecule: ribosomal RNA, 1086 nt
Filed under: Vibrio vulnificus
Lineage: Bacteria; Pseudomonadati; Pseudomonadota; Gammaproteobacteria; Vibrionales; Vibrionaceae
Description: partial 23S ribosomal RNA
Rfam family: Bacterial large subunit ribosomal RNA
Source: RNAcentral